GGGAACAGUCAUAGGAACAUUACCAGGGUGGGCAUAAAAUGAAGGCAAAAAAAUUAAAGUCAGAUACUGUGAACAAAGAAGCAUCAGGACAUAAUUGGGUCUUCAUCAGAUUUACUCAGGCCUGGGUGCUCGGUGAUUUUCCACAAAUCACAUGAGCCAACAGGACUUUCCACACCGUUGUUUAUACUCAGAAUUUCAAGAGUAGAGCUACUGAUCAGCCUCCUAGCACCACAGUGAAGAGCUACCCAUCCUGGCCGAGCUCAGACACCCACUACGCAUAUAUUUAGAUGAAUA
Molecule: long non-coding RNA, 294 nt
Organism: Lepidothrix coronata (blue-crowned manakin)
Lineage: Eukaryota; Metazoa; Chordata; Aves; Passeriformes; Pipridae
Exons: 3
Source: RefSeq, a predicted model, not a curated record